UUAGUGGAAGCGUCUGGAAAGGCGCGCGAUACAGGGUGACAGCCCCGUACACAAAAGCGCAUGUGCUGUGAGCUCGAUGAGUAGGGCGGGACACGUGGUAUCCUGUCUGAAUAUGGGGGGACCAUCCUCCAAGGCUAAAUACUCCUGACUGACCGAUAGUGAACCAGUACCGUGAGGGAAAGGCGAAAAGAACCCCGGCGAGGGGAGUGAAAAAGAACCUGAAACCGUGUACGUACAAGCAGUGGGAGCCCCACCACUAAGCCAGUGGUGAACUCCACAUACGCAUCCUUUGCUGAGGAUGCGGUUAACGGAGCGAAAGCGACGUUCAACCGCAAAAGAAGCAGAGGGGGCUUAGUGGUGGGGUGACUGCGUACCUUUUGUAUAAUGGGUCAGCGACUUAUAUUCUGUAGCAAGGUUAACCGAAUAGGGGAGCCGGAGGGAAACCGAGUCUUAAUUGGGCGUUAAGUUGCAGGGUAUAGACCCGAAACCCGGUGAUCUAGCCAUGGGCAGGUUGAAGGUUGGGUAACACUAACUGGAGGACCGAACCGACUAAUGUUGAAAAAUUAGCGGAUGACCUGUGGCUGGGGGUGAAAGGCCAAUCAAACCGGGAGAUAGCUGGUUCUCCCCGAAAGCUAUUUAGGUAGCGCCUCGUGAAUUCAUCUCCGGGGGUAG
This 672-nucleotide ribosomal RNA is filed under the name Salmonella enterica subsp. enterica serovar Oranienburg. RNAcentral describes it as "bacterial LSU rRNA". It matches the Rfam family "Bacterial large subunit ribosomal RNA", at positions 329 to 905 of the family's 2925-position model. Lineage: Bacteria; Pseudomonadati; Pseudomonadota; Gammaproteobacteria; Enterobacterales; Enterobacteriaceae. The record is from RNAcentral.